RNAcentral lists this transfer RNA (71 nucleotides) under Bos taurus (domestic cattle). It matches the Rfam family "tRNA". Rfam says of the family: Transfer RNA (tRNA) molecules are approximately 80 nucleotides in length. The record is from Rfam by way of RNAcentral. Lineage: Eukaryota; Metazoa; Chordata; Mammalia; Artiodactyla; Bovidae. RNAcentral also lists the same sequence under 1 other name.
UCCCUGGUGGCUCAGAGGUAAAGAAUCUGCCUACAAUGCAGGAGACACAGGUUUGAACCCUGAGUGGGGAA